RNAcentral lists this non-coding RNA (45 nucleotides) under Schistosoma haematobium. Lineage: Eukaryota; Metazoa; Platyhelminthes; Trematoda; Strigeidida; Schistosomatidae. The record is from RNAcentral.
AUCCAGUUGACGAGUCCUAAAUAGGACGAAACGCGUGUCCUGGAU